UAAAAUUCGUGCUCGCCUCCAUCUCCUCUCAGCUGUGAUCAUGCACAGGUUGAAGUAGAAGUCGGGGGCUCCAGCUCCGGUUCCAAAGGACGACAAAAGUGGUCGCUCCCGUGCACGACUACUCCAUGUAAUCCGGGAGAAAGGUGUGACAAAUGCGACGUUCCUUAUGGUCGAUCGGAUGCAAAGUUUUGCUCGGAAUGCGGUGCCAAGAGAUCGACGCUGCCAACCAAGUAAGAAAGAAGUAAGGUUUAAUCUUCUUCUAUGAUUUCGAUGCGGGAGUUCUCACAAGAAGCCACACGCUUGUGAUCUCGUGUUCUUCCAGGAACAAUUCGCUUCGUGUCAAAGUUUGAAAGAGGAAUAUACUCAUAACCGGAAUCAUUCCUGUCCGAUUC
Long non-coding RNA from Selaginella moellendorffii, 392 nucleotides. RefSeq lists it as uncharacterized. The transcript is spliced from 2 exons. NCBI's taxonomy places the organism in Eukaryota, Viridiplantae, Streptophyta, Lycopodiopsida, Selaginellales, Selaginellaceae. The record is from RefSeq and is a predicted model, not a curated record.